UUUCAUCAAAGAGUGUCCAUUCCAUUACACAAGACCAAUUUUACAAGGAUCCAUACAAAAUUACAAAAAAAAAAAAAAAAAAAAAAAAAAAUAUUUUGACCUAUAAUAGAAUUUUGGGUCAAUCAGUUGACCAAAGUCAACUAACCUAAUCUCUAAUCCUAAUCCUAAUUUUCAAUUUAUUUCUUCACUCUUCCAUUUUAUCAUUUGACUUCACAUCCAA
This 220-nucleotide long non-coding RNA is filed under the name Lathyrus oleraceus (garden pea). RNAcentral's name for it is "Pisum sativum (pea) long non-coding RNA (PSAT_LNC030851)". The record is from RNAcentral. Lineage: Eukaryota; Viridiplantae; Streptophyta; Magnoliopsida; Fabales; Fabaceae.